This 525-nucleotide ribosomal RNA is filed under the name uncultured bacterium. RNAcentral describes it as "bacterial SSU rRNA". It matches the Rfam family "Bacterial small subunit ribosomal RNA", at positions 9 to 523 of the family's 1533-position model. The record is from RNAcentral.
GAGUUUGAUCAUGGCUCAGAGUGAACGCUGGCGGCAGGCCUAACACAUGCAAGUCGAACGGCAGCACAGGAGAGCUUGCUCUCUGGGUGGCGAGUGGCGGACGGGUGAGGAAUACAUCGGAAUCUACCUUGUCGUGGGGGAUAACGUAGGGAAACUUACGCUAAUACCGCAUACGACCUACGGGUGAAAGCAGGGGACCUUCGGGCCUUGCGCGAUUGGAUGAGCCGAUGUCGGAUUAGCUAGUUGGCGGGGUAAAGGCCCACCAAGGCGACGAUCCGUAGCUGGUCUGAGAGGAUGAUCAGCCACACUGGAACUGAGACACGGUCCAGACUCCUACGGGAGGCAGCAGUGGGGAAUAUUGGACAAUGGGCGCAAGCCUGAUCCAGCCAUGCCGCGUGGGUGAAGAAGGCCUUCGGGUUGUAAAGCCCUUUUGUUGGGAAAGAAAAGCAGCCGGCCAAUACCCGGUUGUUCUGACGGUACCCAAAGAAUAAGCACCGGCUAACUUCGUGCCAGCAGCCGCGGUAA